UGUUUUCAUAUGUCAGAUGCAUCAAGAAACUGUUUAAGAAGCUGCUUUAAAUUCCCAAGAGCAGAACAUCGUGCACUUUACAAAAAUAUUUUAAUUUCUUAAUAGGUCAAUAUUUAUAAUAGAUGCACCCUGUCAAUAUUUUACGCAUCUUUACGUUCAGCUUAGUGCUAGGGCAUUCAAAUUCUAACAAUACGUUUUUUCAAUAGUUUUGGGGUUUUGGGGGACACCCUGCAUGUAUACUGAAUCCAUGGGCAUGGGUGCGUAAACACAAUUCAGUCGAAUUUUAUGCAUGAAAAUUAAAAGCCUUUUUGGUUCCGUUAUAAUUAUUAUUUGCUGUAAAGCAAUAAAGUAUAUGACUAAUUUGUAUUUUUCCAGUAGCAGAAAAUCUUGUGCUUUACAAACAUGGGUUCAGCAUACAGGGUGUCCCAAAAACCCAAAAACUAUUGAAAUAACGUGUUGUUAUAUAGAAUAUGAA
Molecule: non-coding RNA, 475 nt
Organism: Paramuricea clavata
Lineage: Eukaryota; Metazoa; Cnidaria; Anthozoa; Malacalcyonacea; Plexauridae
Source: the annotation of a GenBank genome assembly